This 347-nucleotide unclassified non-coding RNA is filed under the name soil metagenome. RNAcentral's name for it is "partial contains 5.8S ribosomal RNA, internal transcribed spacer 2, and large subunit ribosomal RNA". The stretch from base 1 to 120 matches the Rfam family "5.8S ribosomal RNA", at positions 35 to 154 of the family's 154-position model. The record is from RNAcentral.
GAUGAAGAACGCAGUGAAAUGCGAUAAUUAAUGUGAAUUGCAGAAUUCAGUGAAUCAUCGAGUCUUUGAGCGCACAUUGCGCCCCCUGGUAUUCCGGGGGGCAUGCCUGUCCGAGCGUCAUUGCUGCCCUCAAGCACGGCUUGUGUGUUGGGCUUCCGUCCCUGGCAACGGGGACGGGCCCAAAAGGCAGUGGCGGCACCAUGUCUGGUCCUCGAGCGUAUGGGGCUUUGUCACCCGCUCCCGUAGGUCCAGCUGGCAGCUAGCCUCGCAACCAAUCUUUUUAACCAGGUUGACCUCGGAUCAGGUAGGGAUACCCGCUGAACUUAAGCAUAUCAAUAAGCGGAGGA